RNAcentral lists this ribosomal RNA (408 nucleotides) under uncultured bacterium. RNAcentral describes it as "partial 16S ribosomal RNA". It matches the Rfam family "Bacterial small subunit ribosomal RNA", at positions 28 to 526 of the family's 1533-position model. The record is from RNAcentral.
GACGAACGCUGGCGGCGUGCUUAACACAUGCAAGUCGAACGAAGUGGCGAACGGGUGAGUAACGCGUAAUCAACCUGCCCUUCAGAGGGGGACAACAGUUGGAAACGACUGCUAAUACCGCAUACUGAAGGAGGGGAUUGCGUCUGAUUAGCUAGUCGGAGGGGUAACGGCCCACCAAGGCGAUGAUCAGUAGGUGGUCUGAGAGGAGGAACGGCCACAUUGGGACUGAGACACGGCCCAGACUCCUACGGGAGGCAGCAGUGGGGAAUCUUCCACAAUGGACGAAAGUCUGACCGAGCAACGCCGCGUGAAUGAAGAAGGUUUUCGGGUCGUAAAACUCUUUUGGUAGGGAAGCGUUAUCUAACCAGAAAGCCACGGCUAACUACGUGCCAGCAGCCGCGGUAAUUC